This is a long non-coding RNA of Cephus cinctus (wheat stem sawfly), 2273 nucleotides long. RefSeq lists it as uncharacterized. The record is from RefSeq and is a predicted model, not a curated record. The transcript has 7 exons. NCBI's taxonomy places the organism in Eukaryota, Metazoa, Arthropoda, Insecta, Hymenoptera, Cephidae.
GUACGUCGUGAAAACAGGGUCGGCAAUUCCGGGCGCAUCGCAAAGCCAUCCUACAGUCGGAAUUUCAUCUCGCUCUUAAACUUGUGUCGGUUGAACACGAGGGACAGCAACAACGUAUGUCGAAUAGAGUUCUAAUAGUAAACGUGGGUAUGCCGGAUUACGCUAAACUCCAUGAUGGCUUCAAAGCCAGUCCGUGCAGUGUACGAGGAUAUACAUACAGGGUGUCCUCUCUAUAGAGGAGGCAGAGAAGGCAGAGAAUGAGAAUGAGGAUGAGGACGAGCAAGAGACCGGAGAUAGAAGGGUGGCACGACGAAAUUCUAAGAGGGCUGUCGCCACUGGCAUCAACGUAUGUGCAUACAUACAUCGAAUCUCGAAGCUUUUUGUUUUCGUGACGACGAUAUGUGCAGGAGGUACAGGGGCGAAACAUAACCUAACGUAACCUGUGAGACGAUUCGAAGUAGAUCAUAAAAUAUGGAUUUAUGUACAGGGUAUCUAUACAGACUAAUUGUAGGAAUACAAUUGUUCUCUGACGCGAGUUGGUCAACACGAGGAAACUGAUCGAGGUAACAUCUUACUUCGAUAAAAGUCACAGGAAGUCUAUUAAUCACGCGAGCUGCAUUGUGCUAUUCAGCCACUCGCCAUUCACCACUCGAAUAUUAUCGAUACCGCCGAACAGCCAUCCGCAGCUAUUGAAAGAGAGUUUAUCAAUAGAGCGCAGGACACUCCUGCAGCACACACUGGCUAGACCGCUGACGUAGGUUCAUCAUAAUCUUUCAAAGGUACCAGCGCCAAUGGAAUGCAUCUGUAUAUUGUAUUUUAUAUCACUGGAGGAUCAUCUACACCAUCAUGAAAAUUCUGUGGUUCAAAAAAGAGGGAGAAAGUAAAAUUACCGAUUCGAGAAAUUUCAGCGUCGGAAUUAAUGACUAGUAAAACAUUUUUGGAACAUUGAAAAAGGAAUCAUUAUUUCUUGGAUUUGAAGGCAAUUAUUUCCACUACAAUUUUAUGAUCAUUCAAGAGGACCUAGAGAAUAUUUAGAACUCUGUUCAGAAGAUCUCUACCACGUAUACGCCCGGAUCCUGGGGAUCUGCGCGGCUGAGUACUCCUUUCUAGGCCUACUAUAAACAGCGACAAAAGGAUGUGUCGAGUGGGCGACGACUAUUCAAUGCACGAGAAAGGAUUGUCUGACGUUGCUGAGGACUCCCGCAGACCCAUGGCUAUGCUAUAGUUAUUUCUCGUUCUUUCUGGCCGUCUCCUCCUUGAACACCAGAGUCAGGCCAGUGGACUGUUCGCGACUACUGAGAGUAGCGAACGAGAAAGAUGGAGAGCUGAAAUGGCGAGGACGAGUGGGACGAGUACGGGGUAGCAGAGCCGGGAGAAAUGAAGGGAUGAAACAAUGUGCCUUUGUACCUGAAAGAAAUAGAAAAGCCAAAGAGGCAAGAGCGAUUGAAAUACUUGAGACUGACUACGUCAAAUAUGAAGACCAGCAUGUGAUUGAAUGUAAGGAUGAGAGAUCGCAUUCAGAAUUCAUUUGCUGAAUGUGUUACGGGUACGUAUAACGAGGUUGAUUCCGUUAUUCCAGAUGAGUAUUUCCAUAUGGAGAAUAUAUAUAUAUAUAAAGAAUCCGCAAGUGGAAUCGUCAUCGGAGAAAUGAAAACGCGUUCCAGUCGAGCACUCACGAUUCAUCCUUUACAAUUCGGAAAAUACACGAACAAGGACCCAACCGACCACGCUUCUCCACUGUGACCCAGGAUCGACCUGCGGCCAUUCAAUGUCCGCGAAUGGCUUUGGCGCUUUUGGUACCGUCCAUGAGAAACCUCGAACAGGAAGCUGAGAAAGUUCUGUCAAUGCUGGAGAACAAAAGUCGGAAGUGAACGGUACUGGGGACCGGAUAUAAACAUUAGGAGUUGGCGGGUGGUCCUCUGAUUGGGACUCAAGUUGCUCGACAGCCGGACAACGCGUGGUCAGCGGACAAAGCUCUUCUAAUUGUCCCUAUCAACGACGAAGAAUGGACCGUGGGCCUGCUGCUGACAAUUUCAUUUGUAAUUUGCAUAAGGCUUAUUAAAAUCACAAUGGAUGCUCGACCUGGACGGAUCCUUCCUGAUCGGCUUGGGAGCUCAACAAAAGUACCAGGACCGUUUAAACGCUUGCGUCCCUUAUUACGUACCGACUGUCGUACAGGGAACAGUAUCAAAUAGACUUUAACUGCCUUUCAGUGGUCAAACUUUACUACGUUUUCUAUUAUAUAUUAUUGACACAAAGUGAACUUACCUUAA